AUCAGUGAGUGAAUCAAGAGAUCUAAAAAGAAUUUUCACUUAGUAAAAAGACUAGGUCUACAUCAGGCUUUUUUUCUAUUCAGAGGUUUGGCUCCCUGCCAUAGGUUCAGGCAAUAAAUUGGUUGUAUCAGAGCUGCUUCCAGCACUCUGCUGAGUAGACGUGUUCUAACUUGGACAAUAGCUGGCACAAUAAGAACUGGAAAACAGUGGCAACUCAGGUUGCCAGGAUUUCUCAAGUACUUCCACAAUGCUGCUCCGCUCAGGCCGCAAAAAGCCUUACAAAGUACCUGUCAGCAGAAGACGAUAUGUUGAAAAGAAAUCUCAACCGAGGGCUAGUAAAACAGUUUCAGAAAAGUCAGCGUUUAGUCUACGAGAAACACUAAAAUGUUACAUACUGACAGAAGACUCAAAAACUGUGCAUUUUGACUUAGAUGAAAAUGGUCAUCAUGAAAUAUCUACCAAGGAUUCGCAGUCCCAUGAAGAUAUCGCAUGGUUAAGCGUGUUCACAAGCAAUGAACCAACAAUUUGUGGUGCUAAAAAUUUGGUGAUCCUCAUGCAGAGAUCAAAGCUUAAUGAAUUUGUCCUAUUGUGCAAGGGUGAAAAGCAGCUCUGUCUAAAGGUCUUAAAAGCAUGCUGUUCAGAGCCAGAUUACCCUACACUGAAAAGAUGCAACAUGAAAACAUGCAAGCAUGAAAAUCCAGACUUUGAACAGCUGAGGGAAGACAAUCACUUUUUCAUCAUGCAUUACCAAGGAGAUUCAGUGAAGUUCCAGUGCUACAAAGACACAAGUUACUAUCUGCAUGUGAAUGAGGACUCACUAGAUAUACGCAAGCCGGAAGACACAGAACCUGAUGGGGAGAAAAAUUUUUACUUCAGGGUGUCAUAUUUGCAGGAAAAGUAAUUUGUCUACCUUUCAGUUGCCUAAGUGUCCAUACAACUCCUAUAAUAGGCUAACAGAAAAAAAGGAAGAUUGAGAUCAUGUAGAACUAAUCUCCAUUUUGCCUUUUUUAAAACUUUUCUGUACCAUCUUGAGUCACAAUAUUCCAUUUUAUGAGAGUAACAUCCUUUAGUUCUGUUCUAUACAAUAGGAAGAGAAGUGGCUAAGUUGGGAAAGCAAACUAAGCAGUCUAUUGGCAUCGUAUCUGCACUAUUAUUGUUUUAAGUAGCUGAGUUCUUCCUGAAGAGAAAAAAUACACAGGCAUAUCUCAGAAACAGAGAUACAAGAGUGUAUCACACAUAGAUAUGAAAUAUAAAGCACAGUUAGUUUUCCACAUUGUAAACAUUUUCCUCUUUUAAAACGCAUACCUUAAAUAGGAAUCCUAAUGUCAAUCAAUCACACCAAUGCACAUGGCAGUAAGGCAAUUCAUCUAGAGUAGACAAAACCUCAAAGGGUUGUGAGUCCUUAAAAAAAGUUUGUUUUUUUCCCAAUAACCAUGCAGAGUUUCACUGCUAGAUUCACAGUUGUGUUCUCCAGAUAGUGAAAAUCAUUUUGCUGAUUUCAAUACUGAGUGAACAGAAGAAAGCUUUUGACUUUUCCCUAAAUAAUACUCAUGACUUCUGGAUCUGUUAAGUGGUCAGCAACGUCAGCAGAAAAAAACAGAUACUGAGUGCAGCAUAUAUUCCAUUAGAACUAUUGUGCUGCACAAGGAAUAAAUUCAAUUGGAUCUCAGGUAAAAUUCCA
Molecule: long non-coding RNA, 1681 nt
Filed under: Struthio camelus australis
Lineage: Eukaryota; Metazoa; Chordata; Aves; Struthioniformes; Struthionidae
Description: lncRNA (ENSSCUG00000001936.1)
Source: RNAcentral